Molecule: ribosomal RNA, 2876 nt
Filed under: Stenotrophomonas maltophilia
Lineage: Bacteria; Pseudomonadati; Pseudomonadota; Gammaproteobacteria; Lysobacterales; Lysobacteraceae
Description: bacterial LSU rRNA
Rfam family: Bacterial large subunit ribosomal RNA
Source: RNAcentral
UCAAGCGAAUAAGCGCACACGGUGGAUGCCUUGGCGGUCAGAGGCGAUGAAGGACGUGGCAGCCUGCGAAAAGUAUCGGGGAGCUGGCAACAAGCUUUGAUCCGGUAAUGUCCGAAUGGGGAAACCCACCCGCUUGCGGGUAUCCUGCAGUGAAUACAUAGCUGCUGGAAGCGAACCUGGUGAACUGAAAUAUCUAAGUAACCAGAGGAAAAGAAAUCAACCGAGAUUCCGUAAGUAGCGACGAGCGAACGCGGACUAGCCCUUAAGCUGGAUUGGUUCUAGGAAAACGCUCUGGAAAGAGCGGCCAUAGAAGGUGAUAGCCCUGUAUCUGAAAGGGCCAUUCCAGUGAAGACGAGUAGGGCGGGGCACGUGAAACCCUGUCUGAACAUGGGGGGACCAUCCUCCAAGGCUAAAUACUACUGACCGACCGAUAGUGAACCAGUACCGUGAGGGAAAGGCGAAAAGAACCCCGGAGAGGGGAGUGAAAUAGAACCUGAAACCGUGUGCGUACAAGCAGUAGGAGCUCCGCAAGGAGUGACUGCGUACCUUUUGUAUAAUGGGUCAGCGACUUACUGUUCGUGGCAAGCUUAACCGUAUAGGGGAGGCGAAGGGAAACCGAGUCUGAUAAGGGCGCAUAGUCGCGGGCAGUAGACCCGAAACCGGGUGAUCUAGUCAUGCCCAGGGUGAAGGUGCGGUAACACGCACUGGAGGCCCGAACCCACUCCCGUUGCAAAGGUAGGGGAUGAGGUGUGAUUAGGAGUGAAAAGCUAAUCGAACCCGGAGAUAGCUGGUUCUCCUCGAAAGCUAUUUAGGUAGCGCCUCAUAUGUAUCCUCUCGGGGGUAGAGCACUGUUAUGGCUAGGGGGUCAUCGCGACUUACCAAACCAUUGCAAACUCCGAAUACCGAGACGGACUGUAUGGGAGACACACGGCGGGUGCUAACGUCCGUCGUGAAAAGGGAAACAACCCAGACCCACAGCUAAGGUCCCAAAUUCACUGCUAAGUGGAAAACCAUGUGGAAAGGCACAGACAGCCAGGAGGUUGGCUUAGAAGCAGCCACCCUUUAAAGAAAGCGUAAUAGCUCACUGGUCGAGUCGGUCUGCGGGGAAGAUUUAACGGGGCUAAGCAGUGAACCGAAGCUUGGGGUGCAUACUUUGUAUGCGCGGUAGAGGAGCGUUCCGUAAGCCGUUGAAGGUGGAUUGAGAAGUCUGCUGGAGGUAUCGGAAGUGCGAAUGCUGACAUGAGUAACGAUAAUGCGGGUGAAAAACCCGCACGCCGAAAGCCCAAGGUUUCCUUGCGCAACGUUAAUCGGCGCAGGGUGAGUCGGCCCCUAAGGCGAGGACGAAAGUCGUAGUCGAUGGGAAGCAGGUUAAUAUUCCUGCACCUCGCGUAAGUGCGAUGGAGGGACGGAGAAGGUUAGGUGUACCAGGCGUUGGUUGUCCUGGGGAAAGGCGGUAGGUUUGGAUCUUUGGCAAAUCCGGGAUCCUUUAAGACCGAGCACCGAGACGAGCCUUUAUGGCGAAGUCACUGAUACCACGCUUCCAGGAAAAGCUCCUAAGCUUCAGCUUACGCAGACCGUACCGUAAACCGACACAGGUGGGUAGGAUGAGAAUUCUCAGGCGCUUGAGAGAACUCGGGUGAAGGAACUAGGCAACAUGGCACCGUAACUUCGGGAGAAGGUGCACCCUUUUUGGUGGCUCGUGCGAGCUAUAGCUGAAGAGGGUCGCAGUAACCAGGCCGCUGCGACUGUUUAUCAAAAACACAGCACUCUGCAAACACGAAAGUGGACGUAUAGGGUGUGACGCCUGCCCGGUGCUGGAAGGUUAAUUGAUGGGGUCAGCCGCAAGGCGAAGCUCUUGAUCGAAGCCCCAGUAAACGGCGGCCGUAACUAUAACGGUCCUAAGGUAGCGAAAUUCCUUGUCGGGUAAGUUCCGACCUGCACGAAUGGCGUAACGACAGCGGCGCUGUCUCCACCCGAGACUCAGUGAAAUUGAAAUCGCUGUGAAGAUGCAGCGUUCCCGUGGCAAGACGGAAAGACCCCGUGAACCUUUACUAUAGCUUUACACUGAACGUUGAGUUCGUCUGUGUAGGAUAGGUGGGAGGCUAUGAAACUGUGGCGCUAGCUGCAGUGGAGCCAUCCUUGAAAUACCACCCUGUCGUGCUUGACGUUCUAACCUGGGCCCAUUAUCUGGGUCGGGGACCGUGUAUGGUGGGUAGUUUGACUGGGGCGGUCUCCUCCUAAAGAGUAACGGAGGAGCUCGAAGGUACGCUCAGCGCGGUCGGACAUCGCGCACUGUGUGCAAAGGCAUAAGCGUGCUUGACUGCAAGAUCGACGGAUCAAGCAGGUAGGAAACUAGGACUUAGUGAUCCGGUGGUUCUGUAUGGAAGGGCCAUCGCUCAACGGAUAAAAGGUACUCCGGGGAUAACAGGCUGAUACCGCCCAAGAGUUCAUAUCGACGGCGGUGUUUGGCACCUCGAUGUCGGCUCAUCACAUCCUGGGGCUGUAGUCGGUCCCAAGGGUAUGGCUGUUCGCCAUUUAAAGUGGUACGCGAGCUGGGUUCAGAACGUCGUGAGACAGUUCGGUCCCUAUCUGCCAUGGGCGUUGGAGAUUUGAGAGGGGCUGCUCCUAGUACGAGAGGACCGGAGUGGACGAACCUCUGGUGUUCCGGUUGUCACGCCAGUGGCAUUGCCGGGUAGCUAUGUUCGGAAGCGAUAACCGCUGAAAGCAUCUAAGCGGGAAGCGCGCCUCAAGAUGAGAUCUCCCGGGGCACAAGCCCCCUGAAGGAACCAUGUAGACUACGUGGUUGAUAGGUCAGGUGUGUAAGUACAGCAAUGUAUUGAGCUAACUGAUACUAAUGAUCCGUGCGGCUUGACCAU